AAGCUCGUAGUUGGAUUUCGGGACGCCUUUAUUGGUCCGCCCCUUCGGGGAGCGGGUCACUGGCCUCCUAUGUUCCUAACGGCCCUCAUCCGCGAGGGUGGGCAAUCAACCGCUGGGAUCGUUUACUUUGAGGAAAUUAGAGUGUUCAAAGCAGGCGUAACUCGCCUCCGAAUACGUUAGCCUGGGAUAAUGGAAUACGACUUCGGUCUUGUUUCGUUGGUUUCGCUUGGCUGAAGUAAUGAUUGAUAGGGACAGUUGGGGGCAUUAGUAUUUAGUUGUCAGAGGUGAAAUUCUAGGAUUUACUAAAGACUGACCAAUGCGAAAGCAUUUGCCAAGGAUGUUUUCAUUAAUCAAGAACGAAAGUAGGGGGAUCGAAGACGAUCAGAUACCGUCGUAGUCUCUACCGUAAACUAUGCCGACCAGGGAUCCGGAGAGUUUGCAUGGAUGACUCCCCGGGCACCUUGCGAGAAAUCA
RNAcentral lists this ribosomal RNA (474 nucleotides) under Vermamoeba vermiformis. RNAcentral describes it as "SSU rRNA". It matches the Rfam family "Eukaryotic small subunit ribosomal RNA", at positions 624 to 1100 of the family's 1831-position model. Lineage: Eukaryota; Tubulinea; Echinamoebida; Vermamoebidae. The record is from RNAcentral.